RNAcentral lists this ribosomal RNA (274 nucleotides) under uncultured bacterium. Its description in RNAcentral is "partial 16S ribosomal RNA". It matches the Rfam family "Bacterial small subunit ribosomal RNA", at positions 523 to 796 of the family's 1533-position model. The record is from RNAcentral.
AUACGGAGGGUGCAAGCGUUACUCGGAAUCACUGGGCGUAAAGGACGCGUAGGCGGGUUGGCAAGUCAGAUGUGAAAUCCUACAGCUUAACUGUAGAACUGCAUUUGAAACUGCUAACCUAGAGUAUGGGAGGGGGAGAUGGAAUUAGUGGUGUAGGGGUAAAAUCCGUAGAUAUCACUAGGAAUACCGAAAGCGAAGGCGAUCUCCUGGAACAUAACUGACGCUAAGGCGUGAAAGCGUGGGGAGCAAACAGGAUUAGAAACCCCUGUAGUCC